Non-coding RNA from Nelumbo nucifera (sacred lotus), 1128 nucleotides. The record is from RefSeq and is a predicted model, not a curated record. Lineage: Eukaryota; Viridiplantae; Streptophyta; Magnoliopsida; Proteales; Nelumbonaceae.
ACCAAACCAACCCUAGAAAGAGAAAAAAGACAGUCCCUCCUCAUUUCCACCGAACUAUCCCUCUCACUCAUCUCUUCUCCCUCACCACCGAAUUAGACCUUCCUCCUCUCCUCUCCUCUCCACUCCACCUCCUAAACUCCCAGCGAACUCUCCCUUUCACUCAUCUCUUCUCCCUCAUAACCAACCUGAAAUCGAUCCUCAUCUUCCUCCCCUCAUCCCAUGAAGCCUUAACCGAACUUUAGCCUUCCAUCUCCAUCUCCAUCUUCUUCCUUCUCUCCUCUCCGUAUUCUAAGGCUCCACAUGGUUAUGUUGUAAAGAAGAAGAAAGAAAGAAGAAAGAAGAAGAAAGAAAGAAGAAGAACAGCAAGGAAAAAAACCAUUCUCGGCCAUGCUGUGAAGACAAGGAAGAAGAAAGAAGAAGAAAGAAGGAGAAGAAUAAGGGAGAACAUUGUUACACCAUUUCGGCUAGAACCGGACCUUACUCACAACUCCCUCUUCCUCUCUUCUUCCAACAAUCGAAAUCUCCCUCUCUCUCUCUCUAGGCUGACCCUUCCCUUCCAUCCUUUCCAUUAUUUCGACCAGCUACAACAACAAAAGAAUAGGGGAAUGAGAAGAAGGAAAGUUCCCUAUCCAAUUCAGUGUUAGGAAGAAAGAAGCUUGAAGUAGGAGGAGGAAGAAGAAGUAUUCGGCCUUAAGCUUAAGCCUCCCCUUUCCACAAGUGCACACAGUACUUUCUAGCUUCUUUGUCAUCAACCAAGUUGAGUUCUCUCUGAUUCAUUCAAAUAGCCAACACUCACCUCAUUGCCUCUCCCACCUUUGAAAGAAAAACCAUAAACAAAGGUAUGAUGGGCUUGGAAUUGAAGAAUUGAAUACCAAUUGGUAGAAACCUCAAUCUAUGGCGCAAGUUGAAGUGAAGAGAGGAAGGAGGCGGUGAACAAAGAAAGGAGCGAAUUGCCAGGCGGAUUCACCCCAAGAAUUUCCUUUUAUUUUGGAAGGAUAAGAUGGUUAUUCGAUCCAUAUCGGGAUUCCUAUUUUUGUGCURAGAAGAGGAAGUUGUUUAGGAGAAUUCAAAUCCUAUCCUAUAGGAGAUAAUCUAUAGGGAACCCUUAUCUUUCCAGUAUUAUAUAAA